AGUGAACGCUGGCGGUAGGCCUAACACAUGCAAGUCGAACGGCAGCACAGUAAUAGCUUGCUCUUACGGGUGGCGAGUGGCGGACGGGUGAGGAAUACAUCGGAAUCUACUUUUUCGUGGGGGAUAACGUAGGGAAACUUACGCUAAUACCGCAUACGACCUACGGGUGAAAGCAGGGGAUCUUCGGACCUUGCGCGAUUGAAUGAGCCGAUGUCGGAUUAGCUAGUUGGCGGGGUAAAGGCCCACCAAGGCGACGAUCCGUAGCUGGUCUGAGAGGAUGAUCAGCCAAACUGGAACUGAGACACGGUCCAGACUCCUAGGGGAGGCAGAAGUGGGGAAUAUUGGACAAUGGGAGCAAGCCUGAUCCAGCCAUACCGCGUGGGUGAAGAAGGCCUUCGGGUUGUAAAGCCGUUUUGUUGGGAAAGAAAAGCAGCAGGUUAAUACCCCGCUGUUCUGACGGUACCCAAAGAAUAAGCACCGGCUAACUUCGUG
Molecule: ribosomal RNA, 492 nt
Filed under: uncultured bacterium
Lineage: Bacteria
Description: partial 16S ribosomal RNA
Rfam family: Bacterial small subunit ribosomal RNA
Source: RNAcentral